Molecule: long non-coding RNA, 904 nt
Organism: Cavia porcellus (domestic guinea pig)
Lineage: Eukaryota; Metazoa; Chordata; Mammalia; Rodentia; Caviidae
Exons: 3
Source: RefSeq, a predicted model, not a curated record
GCCUAGAAUCCCAGCUGGGAGGGUGAGGGGCUGGAGGAAGGCCCACCUCACUUAACCCUUUCCCGGCCCCGGGAGAGAAGGACAGCUUGGAAGUGGACUCUCCUGGGGCAAGUGUGCAGCUGACCUUGGGGACAGGAGUGUCACUGCGGUGCCUAUGCACCUUCUCUGUCCUGGCUCAGCCGCAGAAACAGGAUUUCCUCCUCUCCCCCCAAAAGCUUCAGUGGACCAAAGAACAUCUGGCAUAUUAGCUUGAGGACCUCACAGGAAGAGUUUCCUGGAAGAUUCAGAAGUUACUGGGGAGGAAUGGAGAGAAAGCUUCAACUCAGCUGAAAAGAAAACAUCUGUGUCUUGAGGCUCUGGAACACGGCUGGGACUCAUUGUGAGGCACUGGGAUCAUUUAAUCAUGCUGAUACAAUCAUUGUAGCCAGAGGAUUAACCAAACCUGAACCGAUUGCUGUGGCUGAGGGAGUUCUGUUUGCCACCCCGGGGCACUUGUGCACUCCUGGAGACCAAAUGGAACCCAGUGAGCUGGGAGAGAGAGGAGUAGAGGGAAAGGUUUGUUGUGGUUUAUAUUUAGAUGUCCUCCCAAGGCCUCAUGAGCUCAUAGGUGGGGCUUUGAGGAGAUCAGAUUAUGUGGGUGUGAUACUAACCAGUGAGUUAAUCUACUGAUGAAUUUAUAGCUAAAUGUGAUGCUGGGAGGUGAAAUCUGGUUGCAGAAGGUGGGUUACUGGAGGCAUGACCUUGAGGGCUGCCCUCCCUCCUCUGUUAAUCUCUCUCCGCUCUCUGCUGCCAUGCUGGGAGCUCUGCUUCUCUUCCAUACCGCCGAGUUCUGCCACCCUCCCUUGGAGCCAGCCACCUGAAACCUCUACAUUCUGUGGGCCAAAAUAAACCUUUCCUCCUGAGA